UUCGGCAGAUUAGAAAAGGCGGUGGUCCCACCUGACCCCAUGCCGAACUCAGAAGUGAAACGCCGUAGCGCCGAUGGUAGUGUGGGGUCUCCCCAUGCGAGAGUAGGGAACUGCCAGAC
Molecule: ribosomal RNA, 119 nt
Filed under: Escherichia coli
Lineage: Bacteria; Pseudomonadati; Pseudomonadota; Gammaproteobacteria; Enterobacterales; Enterobacteriaceae
Source: RNAcentral